UCUUCUUUCCUCUUCUGCUCCUCUUCUUCUCUGUUCUUCUCUGUUUCAUUUCGAUAGAUGAAGGUUAGGUUGAUUCUGUAUGAGCGUUUCUUCUCAUGCUUGGUGUGUUGACGAACUGAGUGAGGUGGUGACGUCACUGAAGCUGAUUUAGUUCUGGAAAAGCAACGAAUUGUUAGUCUUCAUUAACAACGAUCGAUCUAAAGGAUGAACCAGUGGAUUGAGGAUCUCAAGGUAGGAGUGGUUUGCCUUCAGAAUCAGUUUUCAGUAAUCAGAAGAAAAGGUGCGCUCGAAGAUAACCGUUUUGUGGCUUAAAGCUUUUAUCGUAUUAAAGAUGUUGCGUAGCUUUUGUAUAUGUAUAUUUUUGUUAAUCUGUAAAACAACACAUUAUUAUGUUCAUAUCACUCGAGAGAUCUUCAUUUAUAUAAUACCAGAGUUUA
Long non-coding RNA from Papaver somniferum (opium poppy), 437 nucleotides. RefSeq lists it as uncharacterized. The transcript has 3 exons. NCBI's taxonomy places the organism in Eukaryota, Viridiplantae, Streptophyta, Magnoliopsida, Ranunculales, Papaveraceae. The record is from RefSeq and is a predicted model, not a curated record.